Molecule: long non-coding RNA, 1456 nt
Organism: Pecten maximus
Lineage: Eukaryota; Metazoa; Mollusca; Bivalvia; Pectinida; Pectinidae
Exons: 4
Source: RefSeq, a predicted model, not a curated record
AUGUUAGCUUUCACCAAAAGAAAGUUGUUAGAAUUGUUAGCCUUUCUAUAACAACAGUACAGGAGCCGGUGCUGCCGGCAACACUAACAAUAUCCUUUCUCAGAAAGAUAACGGCGGCUAACAAAAAAUCCGGCGCAGACUCAGUAGUUGAUAUUGGCAAACAGUCGACAACACUAACAAUAUCCUUUCUCAGAAAGAUAACGGCGGCUAACAAAAAAAAUCCAGCGCAGACUCAGAAGCCCAGUUGAUAUUUUUAAUCACGUUGAGCCUCUCGAAAAUCUCGAAGAGAAUCUGUAAAGAAUGUAAAGAAAUGUAAUAAAAUAUGGUUUAACAUGUCAGGUUAAGCCAUGGGCCUAAUGUAUAUAUAAUAUUUGACAAAGAAGGCGUGAAAUCGUAGAGCACUCUAACAAUUCAAACAGUCGGUCAUAAACCGAUGUCCAAAUCUCGGAAUCCUGUCUAUUGAGAACCGACUGACAAAGAUACGGUUAAGUAAUCACUUCUAAUCAAGCAUAAGUGAUGUGUGGCACUGGUUUAGUCAAAUGAAAAGUAAAAACAUCUAUUCAUCACAGACGAGGAAUCGUAAUCGUCGCCACUAUAUGGCAGUUUUAAUAGUCAAAUCGGAAACCGGCAUCGAAAUUCUGGAUUCUUGUUCAGCUCUUCUAGUGUUGUCAUCCGCCUGUCCUCAAUUAAGGAGACGGAUUAAUAUACGUAUGCAUAUACUUUUUUUCUGAAUCCUGUUAAUAUUUAUGUAUGAAAUGUAAAGAAAUGUAAAAUAUGGUUUAGACUAAAUUCCGGAUUUACAUGACCUCUUUUUAUAAAGAGGAUUUAACAACUAGAAACUGAUUUGACACCCGAUACGACUGAUGUUAUACGUUUCAAGCGGUAUUAUGUUAGUGGGGUUAGCCGCUAGGAAGCGUAACACGGGAUACCGUGUAGAAACCGUGCGGUAUUGGUGUUAACACUUCAAGCAGAACACGGGAUGGAAUACUGGGAUGUGGAACUCUUCAAUGCAAAGAGAUGUGAAAAAUGCGACGAAGAUUUGCACGAAAGGGGCCAAAAUACAUGAGUGUAUGAUAGCUCAGGAAGACGAGUGGAGUAUUUCCGAUAUCAGGGGUCUUCUUGCAAUACAAGUACAAUCAAUGAAGGAAGAUGUAGUGAUGUGCCAUUUGCUGUUCCGGACAACAAUCAUGUUGAUGACCUAGGAAAUGUUGCAUCUGGCAGCAAUAGAAAGUAUAGCCAGAAGAGGAAGCAGCUAUCGGAUUCCUGGAAAGCUGUCUACAAAAGGUAGGAGACUGUUCGUUUUCAAGCAGGGAAUGUGCUGCAAUCCAAAAUUAAAAAUGACAAACUUGACAUCACUGGAGUAUUUGGUUCAGUGUGUAAACACGACUUCCCCCAGAAAUUUUGCAACCUUAGACAUGGUGAAAGGUAAUGGUUAUAAUUUCCGACAUCCAAAACA